CCUACGGGUGGCAGCAGUGAGGAAUAUUGGUCAAUGGACGAGAGUCUGAACCAGCCAAGUAGCGUGAAGGAUGAAUGCCCUAUGGGUUGUAAACUUCUUUUAUAUGGGAAUAAAAUGUUCCACGUGUGGGAUUUUGUAUGUACCUUAUGAAUAAGGAUCGGCUAACUACGUGCCAGCAGCCGCGGUAAUACGGAGGAACCGAGCGUUAUCCGGAUUGAUUGGGUUUAAAGGGAGCGUAGGUGGAUUGUUAAGUCAGUUGUGAAAGUGUGCGGCUCAACCGUAAAAUUGCAGUUGAAACUGGCAGUCUUGAGGACAGUAGAGGUGAGCGGAAUUCGUGGUGUAGCGGUGAAAUGCUUAGAUAUCACGAAGAACUCCGAUUGCGAAGGCAGCUCUCUGGACUGCAACUGACACUGAGGCUCGAAAGUGUGGGUAGCAAACAGGAUUAGAUACCCCAGUAGUC
RNAcentral lists this ribosomal RNA (460 nucleotides) under uncultured bacterium. RNAcentral describes it as "partial 16S ribosomal RNA". It matches the Rfam family "Bacterial small subunit ribosomal RNA", at positions 338 to 795 of the family's 1533-position model. The record is from RNAcentral.